AGGGUGUAAACGCUGCAGACUUGGUGUUGGAAGUCCUUUGGGGGCAUUCAGUGCCGGAGAGAAGUUGUUAAGUCUGCUACUUGGGGAGUACGUCCGCAAGGAUGAAACUUAAAGGAAUUGGCGGGGGAGCACCGCAACGGGAGGAGCGUGCGGUUUAAUUGGAUUCAACACCGUAAAACUCACCAGGGAAGACUGUUACAUGAAGGCCGAGAUGAAGACUCUGCUAGAUUUUUCAGAGAGGAGGUGCAUGGCGUCAGUGACU
Molecule: ribosomal RNA, 262 nt
Filed under: uncultured archaeon
Lineage: Archaea
Description: partial 16S ribosomal RNA
Rfam family: Archaeal small subunit ribosomal RNA
Source: RNAcentral